UCCGGUGAUGAUACUGCCUGAAUAGGAAGUGCCGUCUGAUGCGAUAACUGACGAUUUCAGGAGCGGUUCUGAGG
RNAcentral lists this small nucleolar RNA (74 nucleotides) under Lepisosteus oculatus (spotted gar). Its description in RNAcentral is "Small nucleolar RNA SNORD49". It matches the Rfam family "Small nucleolar RNA SNORD49". Rfam says of the family: U49 belongs to the C/D class of snoRNA which contain the C (UGAUGA) and D (CUGA) box motifs. Most of the members of the box C/D family function in directing site-specific 2'-O-methylation of substrate RNAs. The record is from Rfam by way of RNAcentral. Lineage: Eukaryota; Metazoa; Chordata; Actinopteri; Semionotiformes; Lepisosteidae.